AUGGGGUGCUGCAGGAUCGGAGACCGGUCAAACGUGGGCGGCGGCACGAGCCCCACUAGCGCGGCGGCGCCCGCCCGCGACGCCGUCGACCACGCCCGCAUGAACUGCCACACGGCCUGGCCGUCGGCGACCGCGUGCAGGAUGGUCACCCCUACCGCCACGGCGCCGUGGCCCGCCGCCGGCCUGGUGACCUGCACGGCGAGAACGCGAGCGGGCAGCUGCGCCACGUCCAGGUCCGGGACAAGCUGCGAGAACGCCUCGGUGUCGUGCUCCUCCUCGCGGGCCAGGCGGCGCAUGUCGUCGGCGCCGCCCAUGUACUCGGCCUCCACGAACCUGACACCGGAGGAGACCGCGGCCGGGGAGCAGUCGACGACGACGGCGCCGGAGGAGGGGCGGAAGGCCAGCUCGCCGGCGAGCGGAAGAAGACGGCGAGGGUGUCGGCGAGGGAGGACCUUAGGGCGCUGA
RNAcentral lists this ribosomal RNA (465 nucleotides) under Triticum aestivum (bread wheat). Its description in RNAcentral is "partial small subunit ribosomal RNA". The record is from RNAcentral. Lineage: Eukaryota; Viridiplantae; Streptophyta; Magnoliopsida; Poales; Poaceae.